This 89-nucleotide transfer RNA is filed under the name Lentisphaerota bacterium. RNAcentral's name for it is "Lentisphaerae bacterium (freshwater sediment metagenome) tRNA-Leu". It matches the Rfam family "tRNA". From Rfam's summary of the family: Transfer RNA (tRNA) molecules are approximately 80 nucleotides in length. Their secondary structure includes four short double-helical elements and three loops (D, anti-codon, and T loops). The record is from RNAcentral. Lineage: Bacteria; Pseudomonadati; Lentisphaerota.
GCUCGGGUGGCGAAAUUGGCAGACGCGCUAGGUUGAGGGCCUAGUGGCCUUUAUUGGCCUUCGGGGUUCAAGUCCCCGCCCGAGCACCA